RNAcentral lists this ribosomal RNA (600 nucleotides) under Staphylococcus sp. India-BSP-3. RNAcentral's name for it is "bacterial SSU rRNA". It matches the Rfam family "Bacterial small subunit ribosomal RNA", at positions 68 to 651 of the family's 1533-position model. The record is from RNAcentral. Lineage: Bacteria; Bacillati; Bacillota; Bacilli; Caryophanales; Staphylococcaceae.
AACAGACAAGGAGCUUGCUCCUUUGACGUUAGCGGCGGACGGGUGAGUAACACGUGGGUAACCUACCUAUAAGACUGGGAUAACUUCGGGAAACCGGAGCUAAUACCGGAUAAUAUUUCGAACCGCAUGGUUCGAUAGUGAAAGAUGGUUUUGCUAUCACUUAUAGAUGGACCCGCGCCGUAUUAGCUAGUUGGUAAGGUAACGGCUUACCAAGGCGACGAUACGUAGCCGACCUGAGAGGGUGAUCGGCCACACUGGAACUGAGACACGGUCCAGACUCCUACGGGAGGCAGCAGUAGGGAAUCUUCCGCAAUGGGCGAAAGCCUGACGGAGCAACGCCGCGUGAGUGAUGAAGGUCUUCGGAUCGUAAAACUCUGUUAUUAGGGAAGAACAUACGUGUAAGUAACUAUGCACGUCUUGACGGUACCUAAUCAGAAAGCCACGGCUAACUACGUGCCAGCAGCCGCGGUAAUACGUAGGUGGCAAGCGUUAUCCGGAAUUAUUGGGCGUAAAGCGCGCGUAGGCGGUUUUUUAAGUCUGAUGUGAAAGCCCACGGCUCAACCGUGGAGGGUCAUUGGAAACUGGAAAACUUGAGUGCAG